RNAcentral lists this ribosomal RNA (413 nucleotides) under Variovorax sp. CT13. RNAcentral's name for it is "bacterial SSU rRNA". It matches the Rfam family "Bacterial small subunit ribosomal RNA", at positions 984 to 1385 of the family's 1533-position model. The record is from RNAcentral. Lineage: Bacteria; Pseudomonadati; Pseudomonadota; Betaproteobacteria; Burkholderiales; Comamonadaceae.
CCGUUGCAGGUAUCGCCAGAGAUGGCUUAGUGCUCGAAAGAGAACCGUAACACAGGUGCUGCAUGGCUGUCGUCAGCUCGUGUCGUGAGAUGUUGGGUUAAGUCCCGCAACGAGCGCAACCCUUGUCAUUAGUUGCUACAUUCAGUUGGGCACUCUAAUGAGACUGCCGGUGACAAACCGGAGGAAGGUGGGGAUGACGUCAAGUCCUCAUGGCCCUUAUAGGUGGGGCUACACACGUCAUACAAUGGCUGGUACAAAGGGUUGCCAACCCGCGAGGGGGAGCUAAUCCCAUAAAACCAGUCGUAGUCCGGAUCGCAGUCUGCAACUCGACUGCGUGAAGUCGGAAUCGCUAGUAAUCGUGGAUCAGAAUGUCACGGUGAAUACGUUCCCGGGUCUUGUAACACACCGAAGUC